Molecule: ribosomal RNA, 222 nt
Filed under: uncultured bacterium
Lineage: Bacteria
Description: partial 16S ribosomal RNA
Rfam family: Bacterial small subunit ribosomal RNA
Source: RNAcentral
UAACGCGUGGGUAACCUGCCUCACACAGGGGAUAACAGUUGGAAACGGCUGCUAAUACCGCAUAAGCGCACAGUACCGCAUGGUACAGUGUGAAAAACUCCGGUGGUGUGAGAUGGAUCCGCGUCUGAUUAGCUAGUUGGCAGGGCAACGGCCUACCAAGGCGACGAUCAGUAGCCGACCUGAGAGGGUGACCGGCCACAUUGGGACUGAGACACGGCCCAA